This 298-nucleotide signal recognition particle RNA is filed under the name Cebus imitator (Panamanian white-faced capuchin). RNAcentral describes it as "Metazoan signal recognition particle RNA (ENSCCAG00000013980.1)". It matches the Rfam family "Metazoan signal recognition particle RNA". From Rfam's summary of the family: The signal recognition particle (SRP) is a universally conserved ribonucleoprotein. It is involved in the co-translational targeting of proteins to membranes. Lineage: Eukaryota; Metazoa; Chordata; Mammalia; Primates; Cebidae. The record is from Rfam by way of RNAcentral.
GCCGGGCGCGGUGGUGCAUGCCUGUAGUCCCAGCUACUCGGGAGGCUGCGGUGGGAGGAUCACUUGAGCCCAGGCGUUCUGGGAUGUAGUGUCCUAUGCCAAUCGGGUGUCCGCACUGAGUUCAGCAUCAAUAUGGUGACCUCCCAGGAGCGGAGGACCACCAGGUUGCCUAAGGAGGGGUGGACCGGCCCAGGUCAGAAACGGAGCAGGUCAAAAUUCCCAUGCUGAUCAGUAGUGGGAUCGUGCCUGUGAAUAGCCACUGCACUCCAGCCUGGGCAACAUAGCGAGACCCCAUCAA